This 85-nucleotide transfer RNA is filed under the name Acetobacter sp. RNAcentral describes it as "tRNA-Leu". It matches the Rfam family "tRNA". From Rfam's summary of the family: Transfer RNA (tRNA) molecules are approximately 80 nucleotides in length. The record is from RNAcentral. Lineage: Bacteria; Pseudomonadati; Pseudomonadota; Alphaproteobacteria; Acetobacterales; Acetobacteraceae.
GCGGGCGUGGUGGAAUUGGCAGACACGCCAGAUUUAGGUUCUGGUGUCGAGAGACGUGGGGGUUCAAGUCCCUCCGCCCGUACCA